AACCAUCUCGACGAUUAGGUUAACUCUUAACUUAAUCGGGUCAAACCCAACUGAAUCCAAUUCAAUUGGACUUGAUCCAAAAAUAAUUACUCAAUCAAAUUGAGUUAAUUAAUGAUCAAAUUACUAAUUAAAUCUCUCAUAAAUAUUGAGUCCAAAUUCGAUGGGUAAUCGGGAAUCAGAAUUCAACGAUAUGUAACCCUGAUCGAAGAGUCCCAAACCAGUGGGACUCUUGACCCCGGUACCAAAAAUGUGUGGGACUCGUGAUCAGAGAAUCUUGAUUCUCGAUCACAGAGUUUCAGACACGUAGGACUCAUAGUCCAUGAGCAUUAGGACUCUUCAUCAGCCAUCAGAUCAGAUAGGAACCUCAAAUGUGUGUGACCCCGUAGGUUCGAAUCUAAGCCGGUAGCACAGGAACCAAUUCCAGUACUAAUCGAAGUGACCAUCUAGCAAUGGUACCCGAUGAUCGGAU
Molecule: long non-coding RNA, 469 nt
Filed under: Elaeis guineensis (African oil palm)
Lineage: Eukaryota; Viridiplantae; Streptophyta; Magnoliopsida; Arecales; Arecaceae
Description: long non-coding RNA (EGUI_LNC063779)
Source: RNAcentral